RNAcentral lists this ribosomal RNA (2166 nucleotides) under Triticum aestivum (bread wheat). RNAcentral's name for it is "partial small subunit ribosomal RNA". The record is from RNAcentral. Lineage: Eukaryota; Viridiplantae; Streptophyta; Magnoliopsida; Poales; Poaceae.
AUGGCCGCCGCAACAUCACCGACGGCCAGACGCUCGUCUCGGCCGGUGGCUCCUUCACACUGGGGGUUCUUCUCCCCGGGCGCGCCGAGCCGGAGGUACCUCGGGAUAUGGUUCUCCGCGUCCAUGCGCGAAGCCGUGGUCUGGGUGGCCAACCGCGACAACCCGCUCAACGACACCGCCGGCGUGCUGGUGAUCGACGGCGCGGGCAUCCUUCACCUUCUCGAUGGAUCCAGUCGGGCCGCGUGGUCCUCGAACACGACGGACGGCGACAGUCCUUCCGCGGCGGUGGCCCAGCUGCUUGAGUCCGGCAGCCUGGUGGUGCGCGACGAGAGCAGCGGCGCCGUCCUCUGGCAGUCGUUCGACCACCGGUCCAACACCCUGAUCGCGGGCAUGAGGUUCGGCAGGAACCCGCAGACCGGCGUCGAGUGGUCCCUCACGUCGUGGCGAUCCCCCGACGACCCGGCGACGGGCGAUUGCCGUCGUGCCAUGGACACCCGGGGGCUCCCGGACUGCGUGUCGUGGCGCGGUGGCGCCAAGAAGUACCGCACGGGGCCGUGGAACGGGCUGUGGUUCAGCGGCGUCCCGGAGAUGGCGUCCUACUCCGACAUGCUCACCAACCAGAUGGUGGUCCGGCCCGACGAGGUGGCCUACGUGUUCAACGGCACGGCGGCCGCGCCCUUCUCGCGGCUCGUGCUGAGCGAGGCCGGCGUGAUCCAGCGGCUGGUGUGGGACGCCGAUCGCCGGGUGUGGCCCGUGUGGGACGUGUUCGCGCAGGCGCCGAUGGACGUGUGCGACGACUACGCCAAGUGCGGGGCCUUCGGGCUGUGCAACGUGAACACGGCGUCCACGCUCUUCUGCAGCUGCGUGGUGGGGCUCGUCCGCGUGUCCCCCGCGCAGUGGUCCAUGAGGGAGGCGUCGGCCGGUUGCCAGAGGAAGGCGCCGCUGGAGUGCCGCGACGGGGGCGCCACCACGGACGGGUUUGCGGUGGUGUCCGGCGUGAAGCUCCCCGACACGGACAACGCGACGGUGGACGCCAGCGCGACGCUGGAGGAGUGCAGGGCGAGGUGCCUGGCCAACUGCUCGUGCGUUGCCUUCGCCGCCGCGGACAUCAGAGGAGGUGGUGGAGGCAGCGGCUGCGUCAUCUGGUUCGGUGACAUCGUCGAUGUCCGGUAUGUCGACAAAGGGCAGGAGCUCUACGUGAGGCUGGCAAAGUCUGAACUAGCAGCUAAUAAAAAGAGGGGGAGUAUGCUAAAGAUUUUACUGCCUGUUAUGGCAUGUCUGCUUGUACUGAUGUGCAUAUUCCUUGUUUGGAUAUGCAAGUUCAGAGGCAUGCGCCGUAAAAAGGAUAUCCAGGCAAAGACUAUUCUGGGUGAUGAAAAUAUAGAACUUCCAUUUGUUAGCUUCAGAGACAUUGUUACCGAAACAAACGAUUUCUCUAAGGAGAACAUGCUCGGACAAGGAGGCUUUGGGAAGGUUUACAAGGGAAUGCUAGAAGAUGAUACAGAAGUUGCUAUCAAAAGGCUCAGUAAGAGCUCAGGACAAGGAGUAGAAGAAUUCAGAAAUGAAGUUGUUCUAAUUGCCAAGUUGCAGCACAGAAACCUUGUUAGACUUCUUGGUUAUUGCAUUCAUGGAGAUGAAAGGCUUCUGAUUUACGAAUACUUACCAAACAAAAGCUUGGAUAUCUUCAUUUUUGAUGAUGCAAGUAAGUAUGUUCUUGACUGGCCAACAAGGUCUCAAAUAAUCAAAGGAGUAGCCAGAGGACUUCUUUAUCUCCACCAAGAUUCAAGGUUGACUAUAAUUCAUAGAGAUCUCAAAUCAAGCAACAUCUUGUUAGAUGUGGAUAUGAGCCCAAAGAUAUCUGAUUUUGGUAUGGCAAGAAUCUUUGGUCGCAACCAACAAGAAGCAAACACUAACCGAGUUGUUGGGACUUACGGUUACAUGUCUCCUGAAUAUGCAAUGGACGGCGCCUUCGCCUUCUCUGUCAAGUCCGAUACCUAUAGCUUUGGUGUCCUACUCUUGGAGAUCAUAAGUGGUCUGAAGAUUAGCUUUCCAAACCUAUUAGCUUAUGCAUGGAACUUAUGGAAUGAUGGAAAGCCAAUGGAUAUGGUGGACUCUUCAUUGUUGAUAAUUGUUCACCAACUGAAGUUCUACGGUGUAUUCAUAUAG